This 5463-nucleotide long non-coding RNA is filed under the name Salmo salar (Atlantic salmon). RNAcentral describes it as "lncRNA (ENSSSAG00000105727.1)". Lineage: Eukaryota; Metazoa; Chordata; Actinopteri; Salmoniformes; Salmonidae. The record is from RNAcentral.
UAGGCUACACAGUCAGUAUUUUUAUUUGAUUAUUAUUAGCUAUUCAUACAUGCCUACAGUUUAUUGCAUACAAUACAAAGACGGUUCAUCUCUUUAUCUAGAAACCCAAAUUCUUUACAAGCAGAUCUGACCAGAAUUCUAUACAACAGUUUUUAUUUAAAACACACAUAAUGUUACUUAUACAAAUCACAACGAUAGAGAUACAGAGUUAAAGUGACAUGGUUUGAGUUCAAUUGACUUUGGCUACAUCUCAUAUUCUUAUAUGCUAGUGCACUAAAUGGAGAAUAGGGUAUUAUUUGCGACUGAGCCUUAGAAUGUGUAUAUUUCCCAUGUCGGUAUCAAUAGUUCCGAUACAUUCUAGUUCAGAAUGUAAAUGAGAACGUUAUUGUCAUGGAACGUUUGAUGCUGAAAUGGAUUUAACAGAACUCUGUUCAUCUAUCCACCUCAUUGUCGAACGUUGCUAUGGGCACGGCCAAACAACGGAAGUGAAGGAUUCGACUUCUGCUUUACUUACCACUGCAACGCGCUGGUGGCAAUCUUGCCAGAGUAAAUUAUUGGAAAGAGACAAUUUAUAGAGUAUAACAGUCAAGUAUAAGUGUAAUUGAGUACGUGUAAUUGUAUAUGUAUUUCAUUCAAGUAGGCUAGUUCUGUUGUGAUAAUACUGUUAGUUGUGUUGUGUCAGAGUUUAGGCCCGGGCCAUCCACCCAAUAACUAUAACGAUAACUAUAAACUAUAGGCUGCACAAUUAUAAAACGUCGCUGAGCAUCCAUACUAGAGGAAAGUGUAUCGUUUAUCGUUCUACAGUCCUACACCUGUCAAUCAACUGAUCAAACCAAUCUACUGCACGCUUCCUAUCAAUAAGGUGGUAACACAAGACCAUUCAUGAGGUCUCUAACACACAGAAUCUGGUUCAGACCAUUCCUGAGGUCUCUAACACACAGAAUCUGGUUCAGACCAUUCAUGAGGUCUCUAACACACAGAAUCUGGUUCAGACCAUUCAUGAGGUCUCUAACACACAUAAUCUGGUUCAGACCAUUCAUGAGGUCUCUAACACACAGAUACCAGUUCAGACCAUUCAUGAGGUCUCUAAGACACAGAAUCUGGUUCAGACCAUUCAUGAGGUCUCUAACACACAGAAUCUGGUUCAGACCAUUCAUGAGGUCUCUAACACACAGAAUCUGGUUCAGACCAUUCAUGAGGUCUCUAACACACAGAAUCUGGUUCAGACCAUUCAUGAGGUCUCUAACACACAGAAUCUGGUUCAGACCAUUCAUGAGGUCUCUAACACACAGAAUCUGGUUCAGACCAUUCAUGAAGUCUCUAACACACAUAAUCUGGUUCUGACCAUUCAUGAGGUCUCUAACACACAGAAUCUGGUUCAGACCAUUCAUGAGGUCUCUAACACACAGACACUGGUUCAGAUCAUUCAUGAGGUCUCUAACACACAGAAUCUGGUUCAGACCAUUCAUGAGGUCUCUAACACAAAGAUACUGGUUCAGAUCAUUCAUGAGGUCUCUAACACACAGAAUCUGGUUCAGACCAUUCAUGAGGUCUCUAACACACAGAAUCUGGUUCAGACCAUUCAUGAGGUCUCUAACACACAUAAUCUGGUUCAGACCAUUCAUGAGGUCUCUAACACACAGAUACUGGUUCAGACCAUUCAUGAGGUCUCUAACACACAGAUACUGGUUCAGACCAUUCAUGAGGUCUCUAACACACAGAAUCUGGUUCAGACCAUUCGGUGCUUUCAGGGUGUGUUCAUUGUCAUAGUGACAACUGCAAAUUAUAAUAUGUGAAUCAAGGCCUAAUGAAAAGCAAUAUAGUACCUCAAAUUUAAAUGUAGCAAUUCAACAACAAACACUGUUUAGCCUGCACAUAUUUUACAGCAUGUAUUUGCCCUCUUGCUCAAGUGGGUUGCAAGUGAUUUUUUGAGGUCUUCUUUUUUACAGUUCUCAUCUCUGUAUGUCCUCUGAAACUAUUUGCAAUGUAUCAGUGCAACAAUAUUAUCAUAACCGGCCAAAAGUGAUCACACGAUUUCCUCAACUUUCCCCAACAUGCGUUUUCUAUGCUGUAGGCCUGUUUUACAUUCGGCAAUUAGCAAGAGCAAGCCUGCUUCUUUCCCAUCGAACAGACUAUUAGGCCUAGUAUAAAAAAGGAUCAAACUACAUGUGCUAUAGCUGUUGUAAGUAAGAAGGUAAAUAUUAGCUAGAUAUUAGGCCAUAAAAUUAUUAUACCUGAUAUUAUUGUUAUCAAGUGAGUACACAAUUAUUGUCUAUAUGCUGUAAACUGCAGUGAUGUAGGCUAAUUAGAAUAACCGCUCACACAUCCUGUUUUGUUUCAUACCGAAAUAACUGCAUACAGUAGCGUACCAGCCUAGGCCUGAGUAUGCAGCCAUUUGGAUCAGUCUGGGUCUAUUCUUGACAGUUUAGAAGGUCCAGAAAGGUACAUUAUUAGGUCACUCAUACGGUGUAGGCCUAUUUAGUCAGGAUGUAGUCCGCUGGUUAACAGGAUAGGACAAUACGGGCUCCUCCUUUCCAACUCCCUGCCCGUUCUUAACGCUGUAGCCUAUUUCACAUCCAGCAAGCAGGCCGCAAGCGUGCAUCUCUCCUCCAAUAGGAUAUUAGUAGGCUAAAGAAAAUAAGUCGAAAUACCUGUCAAAUAAGUUUUUGUAGACUGGCUUUUCCUUGGACUCCACAAUAUUUAAAAGGAAUAGCCGUGGCAGCGGAGAGGAUAAGUGCGUAAUUGCUCAUCAGAGCAAUGAAGACAGACAGACAGGCUGGGGAUGUACUGUGACCUACAGCCUAAGUUAGAAGCUUAUGCAUAUCAGACCAUAAUUCAUGAGCUCAAUGUUAGGCAUAAUACUGCAGUCAAUUUAUCCAGUCAAUUUACACAGUGAAAGAAAAAGUGCUUUUCAGAUAGUGAAAUCAUAGUUAGCGCUCCCGAUUCUGCGCUGAGUGCGGUCCCUCCAAGUCCGUGGGUACAUUGUUUUUUAGGGACAAGAAAUGUACCCUACCUAGGCUACAACAACACAAUGCAAUGAAGUAUGUUAUUAUUGUUUUCAAGUGCGUAGAAAACUCUAGUCUGGGCCAUAAACUGCAGUGAAUACCCUAUGUCAUUUGAAUAACCGCUCAAAAGCCUGGCUUUUAAAAUACAUAUUAAUUUGGAAAUAAAUGAAACUAACAUGCCUGACUGGACAACCAUUUGGAUCUGUUAUGUUUUUGUUAUGAGCAGUUCAGCCUACAAGGUCCAGGCACAUCAGCAGGACAAUAACACACGGUGUAUUUUGUCAUGAUUUCUCCGCUAACAGAAACAUGCUAAUGCAGGAGUUCCUAGUGGCGCGCAUAUGAAUUAUGAUAAUGCGCAAGCGCGGAGAAACAUGUAUCCAUAGUUUCCGCGUUUGGCGUCAUAUUUUAAAAGCGUUCGAAAAUGAGGUGGAUAACUCCCUAUACAAACAUUUAGAUAAUCAAUUUCACAUUCACAGCUGUUCUUCUACUGUACACUGAAGUUUCUCUUAGAUACAGAUCUAGGAUCAGCUUACCCAUCCUCCAAUCGUAACCUUAACUAUUAGCGGGAAAACUUAACUUAACUUAACUAGCGGGAAAACCACAAAACUGCUCUUAGAUCAUUGUCUAGGAUUCAACUUCAUCCCCAAGUCGAGCUGUAUGUAUACUUAGUUUAGAUGUGCUAUUUAAUGGUGCAGUGUCCCUUUUUAUUUGCUAUCCGUGGCACAUUGAAACAACGCAAAAGAAAGUAUUUUCAGUGUCUGUCUUUCUCCAUGCCUUUCUUCGUUAGUUUAAAACCCAUACUUUAAAAAAAAUGUUAGGACUAUAUCCUCUGCAAGUGUGGUCUCAAUAUCAUUUUUCCCUGGGGGCCAUAUUACUUAAAUCGGCUCAGGGGCCACUUUUGGAUCAUGGGCCUGUAGUUUAAGACCCCUGAUCUACAAGCACUGAGCAGAUACAGUAAGCAUUGUGAAUAACGUUAGAUGGAGGAACUUAGGCAUCUGUGCAGAUGUACAAAGCUACUUCAUAUAGUACACCACAAGCAGAGGCUUCAGUACAGAAUAAAACUUGUCUAAUAUUGUGAUUGAUGACUACAUUUCCCACAAUUCAUCUUGCGCUGAAAACUUGCCCUUGAAAAUAAGUCAACCCACUACAUCAUACUCAAAUCUCACUGACCCUCAUACAGAGUAGCUGUUGCUUAUGUAAAACUAUGUCGUGUUUCAUUUGAUAUGUUUAUAUUUAUAUAUAUAUAUAGUGUUUUUUAUUAUUCUCUUAAGACAUACAUUUUAAAACUUGAGGUGGUGAAACUGUAAAGUUGGGUUUUCUUUGGUUACCAGGUUGUUUUUCUUGUUGUUGUUUACAAGUGGAGAAAAGGUGGGAUCCUACACCUUUGUUGUGUGUGUGCGUGUGUUUGUGUGCGAUCCUACGCAGUUUCACACGUGGCAUUUCAGGGACGCAUCAUCCCACCGCCUCCCCAACACCCCCGCGCUCUGUGGUAAGAAUCUACCGGAAUGGCGUCUGUUUGUGUUCUAGAUUUAGCAUUGUCCAGGGCAACCAGCUGAACCUUCCCAUAAUUGGAGUUGGUUGCUAUGGGUAUAUAUUUCCAUCUUUUUAGUCACAGUGUGCAUCCCAAACGGCACCCUAUCCUCUAUAUAGUGCACUACUUUAGACCAGAGCUCUAUGGGCCCAGGUCAAAAGUAGUGCACUACGUAGUGAACAGGGUGCCAUGUUGGACGUGGCCUGUAACUUUUCUCAGAUGUACUCCUGUCUAGGUUAUGUAUGAGCCACGUUAAAUAAAUAAUUGAGGGAAUAACUUAAUAAAAACGUGACACCCACCUUGACACAAGCUGACUUGUGCUCCUCAUCCUCAACCAACCCCAUUUAGUUUACCCCAGCAAGGUCAUAGCCAUGUCUUGUAGUGUUGUACUGCUCACUGCUAAGUACUGUAAUACUGAAGCAUAACAUUAAUGAUUGAUUGGUUGAUUGAUUGAGUGGCUAACUAAGUGAUUGGGGGGGAGGGAGGGGGGGGGGGGUGUAUUCUAUAGCCUCAUUCCUCUCCCCCUUCAGUAUCCAUAGAUCUGACCGAAGCUAAAACAUCAUCAUACUGCCUAUCCACCUACCAAGUCAUUUCAGAUCUGUGAAUACAGGAAGAAAGAUAGAAAACAUUUGAGACACAAUUCUGUUGAGUGAUAUUGAGUCAGAAUUUUGGGGGGUGCUAAAAUCACUCCAUACACUCCCAUCCUUCCAGACCAAACUAGACUCCGUUUCCUCAAAAGCCUUAUCCCUUGACCCAUGACCCCUCUCAGUCGGACCACUCCCCGUUGUCCUCCCCGCCGGAGUCAGACUCUGAUUCGCUGUACUCGACGGCGAUGCGACGUGAGAGAAUGGUGGCCACGUCGUUUCCUACGGGCUCUCUCUUCGCUUCCUGCUCUCUCUGCUCCUGUACCUUCCUCAAUUGGAUACC